UUAAAAAGCUCGUAGUUGGAUUUCUGUUGAGGACGGUCGGUCCAUCUUAUGGAUGUGCAUCUGAUACGGCCUCGGCAUCCUCUUGGGGAACGUCGUUGUGCUUUAUUGCGUGACACGGUAUUCAGGACUUUUACUUUGAGGAAAUUAGAGUGUUCACGGCAGGCAAUCGCCAUGAAUAUAUUAGCAUGGAAUAAUAACAUAGGACCUUGGUUCUAUUUUGUUGGUUUCUAGAGCUAAGGUAAUGAUUAAUAGGGAUAAUUGGGGCCAUUUGUAUUAUCGCGUCAGAGGUGGAAUUCUUGGAUUGCGAUACGACAAACUACUGCGAAAGCAUUUGGCAAGGAUGUUUUCAUUGAUCAAGAACGAAAGUAAGGGGAUCGAAGACGCUUAGAUACCGUCGUAGUCUUUACCAUAAACUAUGCCGACUAGAGAUUGGAGGUCGUUCUUUUUUUCGACACCUUCAGCACCUUAUGAUAAAUCAAAGUCUUUGGGUUCCGGGGGGAGUAUGGUCNCAAGGCUGAAACUUAAAAGGAAUUGACGGAAGGGCACCCACCA
Molecule: ribosomal RNA, 552 nt
Filed under: uncultured eukaryote
Lineage: Eukaryota
Description: SSU rRNA
Rfam family: Eukaryotic small subunit ribosomal RNA
Source: RNAcentral